CCUACGGGGGGCUGCAAUGGGGAAUAUUGGACAAUGGGGGGAACCCUGAUCCAGCCAUGCCGCGUGUGUGAAGAAGGCCCUCGGGUUGUAAAGCACUUUCAGUGAGGAAGAACGCCUGGUGGUUAAUACCCAUCAGGAAAGACAUCACUCACAGAAGAAGCACCGGCUAACUCCGUGCCAGCAGCCGCGGUAAUACGGAGGGUGCGAGCGUUUAUCGGAAUUACUGGGCGUAAAGCGCGCGUAGGUGGCUUGAUAAGCCGGUUGUGAAAGCCCCGGGCUCAACCUGGGAACGGCAUCCGGAACUGUCAAGCUAGAGUGCAGGAGAGGAAGGUAGAAUUCCCGGUGUAGCGGUGAAAUGCGUAGAGAUCGGGAGGAAUACCAGUGGCGAAGGCGGCCUUCUGGACUGACACUGACACUGAGGUGCGAAAGCGUGGGUAGCAAACAGGAUUAGAUACCCUUGUAGUC
RNAcentral lists this ribosomal RNA (465 nucleotides) under Vreelandella stevensii. RNAcentral's name for it is "partial 16S ribosomal RNA". It matches the Rfam family "Bacterial small subunit ribosomal RNA", at positions 338 to 795 of the family's 1533-position model. Lineage: Bacteria; Pseudomonadati; Pseudomonadota; Gammaproteobacteria; Oceanospirillales; Halomonadaceae. The record is from RNAcentral.